Molecule: long non-coding RNA, 1207 nt
Organism: Capsicum annuum
Lineage: Eukaryota; Viridiplantae; Streptophyta; Magnoliopsida; Solanales; Solanaceae
Exons: 2
Source: RefSeq, a predicted model, not a curated record
UCUACCCAACACAUUCUCUAACAACACCAGCAGCCCAAUAACAAUGAGUCGCCCCGGACCAACUCCAAAUAAACCAGCCCACACUCCUUUCUCUUCACCUUAACAAGAUCGGGUACAACACAAAACAACAACAACCAAAAACCCAGCAACAGCAACAGUACAUCAACACCCGAUUUCAGCAAAAUCCGACAUCACCAACAAUUCCGACCUGGCAAUGACCCGAUAUCCAUGAGCAGCAAUCCAAUAACCGCGAUAACAACAGAAAACAGCAACAACGCGCAAUACAGUCAGCAAAAACUGACAAAACAAUGGCAAAACCCAACUACGUCCAGCUUCGACCCGACGUUAGCUCUCAAUCCGUUUGAACUUUUCAAAUUUGAAAUUCAAAUUCGAAUGGAAUUGUACCAUUACAGCUCACAACCUUAUCCUUAGUGAAAUCCCCAAAACACCCUUAAAAAUUCUUCAAUCCCACAUCAAUUCUUUCUCAAAAUUGAGCCCAGAUCCCUUGUUAUAUAUAUUGCUACUGUUUUCAUUAAAAAGGGGAACUAUUGAUGAGAGUUUGGAUAGCGAGAACUCCAAAAAAACAUGGAAUUUUACUAUUCGAAGAAGGAUUUCGGUGCCACAAAAUUUGAUAAGACUCCUUUAGGCUAAGAAUCCAAGUUUAUUUCGGUGAUGGUCGAGAAUCCGACGAGGCUCGAAGUCCCCAUUUGGUGCUCUGGAAAAAAGGUGUAGAUCGAUCAAUCUCUAAGAAAAUUCAAGAUCAGAUGAAUACGCCAAAAAUUUGGUGAAAAGAUAUGAAGUGCGAAAGUCAAAAAAAUCCUCAAGAAGCAUGUAGGAUAUUUAUCUACCCUAAUCGCUAUGAAAGCCACAAUUAUGCAAAAAUUUACUUGAUCACAAAUAGAUAUCGCAUGUGACAGAGGUGGACAAAGCCAAGAAGGCGAAGACCGACGAAGGAUCGUCUAGAUUCUAGUAUUUUCUGUUUUAUCCCUUGCACGGGAUUGUUUUUUUCUUCAUGUUAUUUUUCCUUUCCCAAAAGUUGUACCCCUCAUUUUCUACUUUGUAGGCAUUUAUGAGUGUUUUUAUUUUAUCCCCUGCGUGGAAUUAUUUUUCUCGCAUUUUAUUUUUCAAUCAUUGUAUUCCUCGCUUUCUAUGUUGUACGCAUUUAUAUCCUCUUGGAUAUUAUAUUUAUGAAAGUGAUUUUCUGGGA